This 2072-nucleotide long non-coding RNA is filed under the name Brassica napus (rape). Its description in RNAcentral is "long non-coding RNA (BNAP_LNC006430)". Lineage: Eukaryota; Viridiplantae; Streptophyta; Magnoliopsida; Brassicales; Brassicaceae. The record is from RNAcentral.
AUGGAAGACAAUACAUCAAUGUUUUGUUCGCAUUUCUACUUCAAUCUUCUGAACUCAAGUUAACAGUAACAUUAUCACAUUUGCUAACGUUUUUAGUUCCUUCUGAUACAAACGAAUCUCUAAAGAAAGAUAGAGGUCGUCGAAAUCACUGAAGAAACAUAGAGAAAAAGAACGAGCUCAUCACUUUUGAGAUGAGAUUCCUUUCACUGCUCAAAUGGGACACGCACGAACAGUCGACCGUGCAGGCUCACGACCGCUGAUGUGUGCAGCGGAUCGAUUCUUGCUGGAAAAUUCACAACCUACCAAAAACCAAACUCAAAGUUAAAAGACAGAACUAUUCUUUAGUUUACUGGAGAGUAAGAAUCAAACCUUUUUGAAGGGUGUGAUUCCCCAAGGAUUGUCAAGUUGUUCAGGCUGGCCUGCUAUAACCAGCCGCCCUGCAGGGUCUGACUGAACUCGAACCUGCAACAGGAAAGCAACUUAUGUCUGAAUAACUCAUUUCGUAUACAAAGAUUCACUAGCAACCAAGGUUAUACGUUACGAUAUAAACAUACCAUUGAAGAAGAAGGUUUUUCCAUUGAUAAUGACUAGAUUAAUGGUGGAAGCACGAGAACAUUACAUGACCUGCCAAAACAAAAGCAUGAAAGACAUUUGGGUUUGAAUUUCAUCAGUUUCCAUUUAGAUGAAUUGACUAAGAAACCCUUCAACAAUAUAACCAAGUGGGGUUUUGAGUACCAAGGUGUGUGAAAAUGAGGAAUGCAUCAAGUCCCUAGGGAGAAUAUGUAGUGACAAUCUGAAAACAAAUAGUAAUUUUUUAAGUUUCGUGUAUAUAUAGGAAAUUUUUUACAUGACCAAUGCCUGUCUUGUGGUGAAUUAUCUCCAAUUAGCUAGGGAAGUUUUUUUUAUUUGCGUAAGAAAUUGAGUAAUUCAAGUGUACUCUUUUAUUUUAUUUUGUCCAUAUAUGUAUGCACAUUGACCAUGCUAACACAAACUACCAAACUAUAUAUACAUCAUGGUCAAUUUAAGUAAUUUACUGAUAACAUUAACUUGCUAUAAGACCAUCAGACCAUGAUGAAUUUGGAUACAAUCCUUUUUGUAUUGUAAUUUGUAAAUGUUAGAUUAAGAAUUUUAUAUAUUUGGCUUUUUAGGGCAUGAACCAUGUACAGAGAAUUAAAGGGUAUUGUACUUUGGCGACCUUUUAGAUACAUGCGAUAAGACUUUAUCUUUUGAAGAUUUCCAUGUGGUUGUAUCAUGUGCCUUACAUGCAACUGAGCAACACAUGACUGAGAACAAAGUAGAUGCUAUAUUGUUUAUUGAAAAUUUUUAUAGACAAUUUAUGCCUAUGAUUGAACUGAUACAAAUAAUAAUUAAAAAAAUGAUGAUCGUAGAUACAUACAUUAUGUACAUACUACGUAUUGAGAUUGAGUAUAGGCCAUGAAUCUUGAUACUGUAUGUGCAUACGGUCGGGACAAUGGUUUUAAGUUUAUUCUAGCUCAGUGUUUAUUAUGGUGGGUUACUAAGUAUUUACCAAGUAGACUGAUAUUUGACAUUUAUAAUGAUCAGAGAAUUAUAAAAUUUAAUGUAAUUUUAUUAAUGAACUACCAUAAUUUAACAAAUUUAUAUAAAACGCAUUAUGAAAGAUAUAUAUGUAUCAUACAUAGUGCAGACUGCGUGAGUAUUUAUGGAUCGCCCAAGCAACACGCCGCAAAGGAGGCCUGGUUUUAGGCCCAUUAUACUUGGCCCAAACAAAUACAUGCUUAGAAAACCAUAACAUUCCUACUAACUUUAAUGGAAGACAAUACAUCAAUGUUUUGUUCGCAUUUCUACUUCAAUCUUCUGAACUCAAGUUAACAGUAACAUUAUCACAUUUGCUAACGUUUUUAGUUCCUUCUGAUACAAACGAAUCUCUAAAGAAAGAUAGAGGUCGUCGAAAUCACUGAAGAAACAUAGAGAAAAAGAACGAGCUCAUCACUUUUGAGAUGAGAUUCCUUUCACUGCUCAAAUGGGACACGCACGAACAGUCGACCGUGCAGGCUCACGACCGCUGAUGUGUGCAGCGGAUCGAUUCUUGC